CAGUAUCGAGAAAUUGCUCCACAUCUUCAAGUCGCCGCUGUAUGGAGAGUUGAUGGUGAAGGAUGAUGCCUGUUAGCAGCGUUUUAUUAUCAAUUUCACAUAAGAUCUAGGGCGUAAUUUCUGGUUGUAGAAAGUAACAAUUUGUAGACGACGAACUCAAUUCUCCUGAAUUCGACCCUUAAUAAACUUCUAUUUGGUGAAACAAGAGACAAUUGAUUCCAAUUCGAUUCAUAAUUCGUCAUCGAAUCUGUUAGGUCUGGUCAUGUCAGAAAUAGACGAUUGGGGUGUGGUGUGGUGAGAUUGUUAACAUCGAUGUUACUGAUUUGUGAUUUGGAGGUUCAUAACAGUAGAGAGAUUUAAUCUUGUGUAGGUUUACUCACUUGAAGAUGGCCCACCAGUUUACAUGUUAAGAUAAUGCACAAAUUGGGUGUGGAAGCUAUGGGAGUUGGAGCUUUAAAAUUUACAAGACACCAUAGAAUGCAGCAGAGAAACCUGCAUUUUGAUUCAUUAUUCACAGUGAGGCAAGGUGUCUACGAAAGUUGAUGAUGGCAAUGAGACUAAUCUUCGAUUCAGAGUAGAACAUCUGCUUAAACAGUUACACGUGUAGCGAUUAAAACCCUUAAUUUUAAGAGGAUUGCUGAGACUGCUGGAGUGGUGGUUUCGAUUGAACCCAAGCCGAUUCCAGUCACUUUUGUUUUAAUUUUUUGAGGUGCUUAAAAACAGUUAAAUGUUUUAUAUUUUUUAUUGAUUCAAUGCCAUGUUUAUUUUAAGGUAAUAUAGAAGUUGAAUAUGCAAGGUGCUUAAAAACACCCCUCUGUGUUAGUGUGUCGAGGUAACGGUCAAAACAAACAGUUUUUUAUUUUUCUUAAAUCUGGAUAAAAACAUUCCGGGUCGGGCUAGAUUUGAAAA
Helianthus annuus (common sunflower) is the source of this 909-nucleotide long non-coding RNA. RefSeq lists it as uncharacterized. The transcript has 4 exons. The record is from RefSeq and is a predicted model, not a curated record. Lineage: Eukaryota; Viridiplantae; Streptophyta; Magnoliopsida; Asterales; Asteraceae.